This 6841-nucleotide long non-coding RNA is filed under the name Sorghum bicolor (sorghum). RNAcentral describes it as "long non-coding RNA (SBIC_LNC010478)". The record is from RNAcentral. Lineage: Eukaryota; Viridiplantae; Streptophyta; Magnoliopsida; Poales; Poaceae.
GUGGAAAAUAUUGAUAACAUGUAGUGGGAAGUUGCAGCACUACUUUUAUUAAUAACCAAGCCUAGUAGGAUGCAUGGCUGGUUGGUAUUCUCUGCAUGAAUGCUGCAGCGUGUGUGGACAGCAACCCAGUUGCUGGUUGCAUGCAUUUCUAACUUCUGAAUAUUUGCUUGCACUUCAACGGCUGGUACUCAUUGUAGCUGAAUGGCCUUUCCUUUCUGAUGCACGUCCAGGUUCCUUGCAUAUAUUUGGCGGGCAGAAUCCAUCAUCAUCCCAUGCCCGUUCAUGCCCUCCAUCAUUCCUAAGAACAUUAAAACAAGUACUGAAAAGCAUAGGCUCAUUCAAAAUAAUCUGAUUAUUUAACAUAAGGUUAGCGUUCACCUGAGAAUGCAUUUCCUUCUCCAAUUGUUUGGCUCUGCUCCUUGUAGUUGGACCCACUAUAUCAGAUGCAUCUUCAUUAGGAUGUGGAGAAGACUGGAUACUAGGGAUGUCCUCAUUAGCCUCCCCCUCUUGGGAAGGAGUCAUCCUCGACUCAGACUCACCAACAAAUGGAAGCAAAUCUUUGACAUUGAAUGUUGGGCUCACAUUGGAAUAUUCAGGCGGUAGUUCAAUUUUAUAAGCAUUAUCAUUUAUCUUUUGGAGAACCUGGAAUGGACCAUCACCUCGUGGAGAUAACUUACUCUUGCGUUGUUGGGGAAAUCGAUCCUUGCACAAGUGCAACCACACUAGGUCACCGGGCUGGAAUGUAACUUUCUUCUUACCCUUGUUUGCUUGCUUUGCAUACUGUGCAGAUUUCUUAUCUAUAUUCCUUCUUGUAUCAGCAUGUAGCUUCUUAAUAAAUUCUGAUCUCUUUGCAGCAUCCAUGUUAACUUGUUCCUGCAAUGGUAAAGGCAAAAGAUCCAUGGGUUUAUGUGGUUUAAAACCAUAAACAAUUUCAACGGGACAAAAAUUUGUUGUUGAAUGUACUGCCCUAUUAUAAGCAAAUUCAACAUGUGGAAGGCAUUCUUCCCACAUUUUCAGAUUCUUUUUCAGCACAGCCCUCAACAUUGUAGAUAGAGUACGGUUGACAACUUGUUUGACCAUCAGUUUGUGGGUGACAGGUAGUAGAAAAUAACAACUUGGUGCCAAGUUUUCCCCAUAAUAUUUUCCAAAAAUAGCUCAAAAAUUUUGUAUCACGAUCGGAAACAAUAGUCUUGGGCACUCCAUGUAGACGAACUAUCUCCCUGAAAAACAAUUGAGCAAUGUGUGAAGCAUCAUUGCUCUUAUGACAUGGAAUAAAAUGUGCCAUCUUUGUAGAGCGAUCUACAACAACAAAAAUAGAAUUGCUCCCCCUCGGAGACCGAGGUAAACCUAGAAUAAAAUCCAUGGAUAUAUCUUCCCAAGGUACAUUUGGAAUCGGUAAUGGAAUAUAUAGACCAUGGGGAUUAAGGCGGGACUUAGCUUUCAAGCAAGUAAUGCAUCGCUCAACAUGUCGCUGGACAUCACGUGUCAUAUGUGGCCAAAAGAAGUGACCAGAAAGAAAGUCCAAUGUCUUUUUUACACCAAAAUGACCAGCUAACCCACCGGCAUGUGCUUCCUGCAAAAGAACAUUACGAAUCGAACAAGCUGGAAUGCAUAGUUUGUUAGAUCGAAAUAAGAAUCCAUCAUGCAUAUAGAAUUUAUCCCAUCCUUUGCCAACAAUGCACUUAGAGUAAGGUUCUUUAAAAUCAGAAUCAUUAGCAUAAAGUGAUUUAAUGGAUUCUAAUCCAAGAACUUUUGUUUCUAGUUGUGCAACCAAACCACAUCUUCGUGAUAAUGCAUCUGCAACAAUGUUAUCUUUACCACGCUUGUGUUUAACAACAUAGGGAAAUGUUUCAAAAAACUCAAUCCAUUUUGCAUGACGGAGGUUCAGUUUGCCUUGGCUUUUGAGAUAUUUCAAGGCUUCAUGAUCAGAAUGGAUUACAAAUUCUUUAGGUAAUAAAUAAUGUUGCCAUACUUCCAAAACUCGAACUAAGGCAUAAAGCUCUUUAUCAUAGAUAGAGUAGUUCAGAUGUGGACCAUUUAGUUUUUCAGAAAAGAAGGCAACAGGUUUACCUUCUUGAAGUAGCACACCUCCAAUGCCAAUACCACUUGCAUCACAUUCGAUCUCAAAAGUCUUACCAAAGUCUGGUAGUUGCAGCAGCGGUGCUUCACAAAGUUUUCUUUUCAACACUUCAAAGGCUUGUUCCUGUUCAUCUCCCCACUUGAAUGGAACAUCCUUCUUUGUCAAAUUGUUAAGAGGUGCAGCGAUUGUGCUGAAAUCUUUAACAAAGCGCCGGUAAAAACCUGCAAGACCAUGGAAACUUCGAACUUGGCUCACAUUUGUAGGAGUUGGCCAGUCCUUUAUCGCAUUAACCUUCUCUUCAUCAACUUGGAUGCCAUCUGCAGUCACAACAAAACAAAGAAAAACAACACGAUCUGUGCAAAAGGUGCACUUAGAAAUAUUUCCAUACAAUUUUUCUGCCCUCAAAACAGCAAGGACUGCAUGAAUAUGAUCAAGAUGUUCAUCAAAUGAUUUACUAUAAAUCAAGAUAUCAUCAAAAUAUACAACCACAAAUUUGCCAAUGAAUGCUCUUAAAACAUGAUUCAUUAAACGCAUAAAAGUUGAAGGAGCAUUUGUCAAGCCAAAGGGCAUCAUCACAAGCCAUUCAUAUAAGCCAAAUUUAGUCUUAAAUGCUGUUUUCCAUUCAUCUCCAAUUUUCAUGCGAAUUUGAUGGUAGCCACUACGCAAAUCAAUCUUGGUAAAAAUAGUAGCACCACUCAAUUCAUCUAACAUAUCAUCGAGCCUAGGAAUGGUAUGACGAUAUCUAACAGUUAUAGCAUUGAUAGCACGACAAUCGACACACAUGCGCCAAGACCCAUCUUUCUUAGGGACCAAAAGUACUAGAACAGCACAAGGCGAUAGAGAUUCACGAACAUACCCUUUGUCCAAAAGCUCUUUUACCUGCCGCUGAAUUUCUUUUGUUUCUUCAGGAUUGGAGCGGUAGGCUGGACGAUUUGGAAGAGAAGCACCGGGUACCAAAUCAAUUUGGUGCUCAAUGCCACGGAUGGGAGGAAGACCAGCAGGCACCUCAACGGGAAAAACGUCCUCAAAGUCCUGUAAUAAAUCAAAAACAACACUUGGCAGUGAUGUAGGUAAAUCGUUAGUUGACAAUAGGGCCUCCUUGUGCAGGAGCACAAAGAAUGGAGUAGUGGUGUUCCUCACUUCUCUCAAGUCACUCUUGCUCACAAAUAAACAUUCAUUUUGUCGAGGAAGGCUUGUAUUUUUAGGAGGCUUUAUGUGGCUGGAUGGUUUAGGAUUCUCUCCCUUACUAUUUUUAGAUGUCUCAUAUAAUUUUCUUUUCUCACUCUCCUCCCUUUUCAUGCGAGCAACAUCAGAAGAAUGUAUGUCUUCUGGAGAUAAUGGAAGAAGAACCACCUUCCUCUCUUUUUGAAUAAAUGUGUAUUUGUUUGACCGACCAAAAUGCAUAGAAUCCACAUCGAAUUGCCACGGACGACCCAGAAGUAAGUGGCAUGCUUGCAUAGGAACAAUAUCACAGUCAACCUCAUCAUGAUAGUCACCAACUGAGAAUGAUAAGCGGACCAAGGAUGAAACCUUUACUGUCCCUGAAUUAUUCAACCAUUGCAUAUGGAAUGGGUGUGGAUGGCGACGUGUUGGCAGACCAAGUUUCUCAACAAGCAAGGCACUAACAGUAUUGUUGCAGCUCCCACCAUCAAUUAUAAAUCUGCACACCUGUCCUCUCACUUUGCAUCGUGAUUGAAACAAAUUAUGGCGCUGCCCUUGCUCAGCUGCAAGGAAUUGAGUAGAAAGAACUCGUCGAACCACCAAAGAGUGAUCUGGUGCAUCCAAAAGAUAAGCACUCAUAGUGGAAUUUGCAGUAGACCCAAAUGAUCUGCCGUGUUGGGACAAAACAGGAGCCUCCAAAUUAUUAAUAUCAGCAAGCAAAUCAUCAAAAUCAGCAGUUGUGAUCUCCUCAGGAUUUAGAGGAAUAACAUCUUGUGGUAUGUCAUCUUGAGCAACUUGUGGAAUAGAAUGAAUAACCAAACAAUUUAAUCCCAGCUCAUAUUCACCAUCCUCAGCCUGAUACUCACAAGUUUCGAGAGUCUCAUCUGCUAAUGCAAGGAUAUUGUGCUCCUCCUCUUCUUCACUCUGAGAAUCAUAAGAACUAUCAGCAAGUGCUAUAAUUGCACGCCUAUUAGGACAUUCAGCUUGCUUAUGACCAUGACCACCACACUUAAAACACUCAAUCUUGCUUGUCUUCCUUGGGGCUGCAGCAGUAGAGGAGCUGGACUGAUUCGAACUUACAGCUUUGCCUCUUGAAUCAAAGUGUUUGGCAGAAGUUGAAACUGAACGAGAAGUUGCACGAGAUGGUGUGUGCACACCUGACCCUUGCUGAUGUGAAUGGCGCCAUUGAAUAGAAGUAUUAUGAGCUGAAUAUGAAGCACGAUUUUUAUAAGGUUCAGCAAGCUGCCUUUCUGCCCUUUUUGCAAAAUGUAACAAUUCAUUCAAAGUGUUGUAAUUAGUCAUGUCCAUCUUGUCUGCGAUUGGUUUAUUAAGACCAACCAGAAAUCGAGCCAUCGUCGAUUCCUCAUCUUCAGUGAUACCAGUACGAAGGAGACACAUUUCCAUUUCCUGAAAAUAUUCAUCCACACUACGAUGACCUUGGACAAGUCGUUUCAGCCUCAAAUGUAGCUCACGAGAAUAAUGUGCAGGAACAAAUCGUCGCCUCAUUUCUCGUUUCAUGUCAUCCCAUGUAAUACGAUCAUGUCCAACGCGGCGGAAAUCAGCACACACUUGAUUCCAGCAAGUGAUUGCAUAACCUGUGAACUCAAUUGCAGCAAGCUUUGCUUUCUUGACAGCGGGAUAAGGAUAUAAAUCAAAGAUCUGAUCAACCUUGGUCUCCCACUCAAAAUAAUCAUCAGCACUUUCCUUUCCAUUAAAUUUUGGAAUGGACACUUUCACUUUGCUUAAACCGUCAUCAUCAUGACGACGACGGCGAUCACGAUAACCAUGACGGCCACCAUGCCGAUGAUCAUCCAUGUCAGACAACAUAUCAUCAUCACCAUCAUAAUCUCCUCCACCUCCAAUAGGAAUGCGCCGAGCACGACCAAAAUUAGGAAUACCACGACCAAAAUUAGGAAUACCACGACCAAAUCCACUACGUCUAUGGCCAGCAGCACGACGCGGUGUCUCAUCCUCCUCCUCAAUGUCAUCGUCCUCAUUUGGUGGUGGUUCUCUACGUGGCAUGUCCAAUUGGAGAGUUUGGAGCUGCUGCGUCAAAUUAUUUAUUUGUGUACGCAGCUCCUGGAAUUCCUCCACCGAAACAGCGGCACCAUCUCCAGGUCCUGACAUAUUAGUACAAGUAACAAUAUAGGAUAGAACAAUAUGUGGAAUCACUCCCUCACCACUUACUGAACAAGUUCUUUCUCUUCCUGAAAGGCCAAGAACCGAGGCAGCAAUCUGCAGUGGAAGAGUGAUUGUACCAGAGACGACGGUGCAACAGUUCGCGAUGCUGUGGGUGGGGCUGGGUGGGAUGUGUUGUCACUGCAAUCUGAAAUUUUAGUGAUGCAAAAUCGAAUAAUAAUCCAAAAGAGAAACACAAGUCUUAGUUGCUGAUCACAAGGAAAAAAAUAGGUGGAAAGGAAAGGAGCAAGGUAGAAGAAGUGAAACUGAGGAAACAAUUGGCACCUAUAGGACUGUUGCUCAAUCCCCUUUUUUCUUGCAAAUAUUCAUGUGUCUCUUUUUUUUAACUUUUUUAUUUUCUUUUGAAUUUUUUUUAGAACCUCCGGACAAGCGAUAUACAACUUUCAAUAAGGGUAGCACAGAAUGGCAAACAAAGUAUUGGUGCCGAUUGGUAGGCUGAUUUGGAAGCAAUCAAGGGUGGGAUGGGUGGGGUAGAAACAACGGAAGAAAGAGGAGAAAAAGAAAAAAACGAAAUUCAGAUUAGGAGAACUCAGACCAAGUGAAAUCAGCAACAAGAUAAUUCUCAAUGGAUCAAAAGUCGAAGCUGCAAACUAAAUUCAGAUGCAAAAUUGAAAUGAUAGGUAUAUAAUUUUGCUGGUGGUGUGGGCUGUUUGUGGACUAUAGGAAAAUGAACAAACUAUCCUACCAAAAAUAAGAAUGAUCCUACGGAGGCUCUGAUGCCAGAUGAUGCGCACACGUCUAUGGAUCAUGUGUGACAAGUAGUAGUGGCCCGAUCUUCUCGAAGGAUCUGCGAACUUGAUAACUAUCGCUGCGUGACCUGGUGAAGAGGCAGUGCACCGCGAGUCUGCACACGCGACGAAUUACCGAGACAAUCACCCUUCCACGUACCGAUGAAGCCAGCCCCCGUAAAGACGUGAAGGCACAAACUGGGUGAACCGCAGUUCGGCGUUCUACAACUCCCUCAGGAAUCGAAAGAACAAGUCUGCAAGCCUCUCAAGACUCACGUGGAAAGAAGAACUCAAAGAGUUUGUGUUUCUGAAAUUGCAAUCACAAGUUCCUGUUCACGUCCUUCAUUAUAGGGAUAUAUAUAGCACUAGUGGAGUUUCAGUUUGGUGGAAAAUAAUUGAUAACAUGUAGUGGGAAGUUGCAGCACUACUUUUAUUAAUAACCAAGCCUAGUAGGAUGCAUGGCUGGUUCGUAUUCUCUGCAUGAAUGCUGCAGCGUGUGUGGACAGCAACCCAGUUGCUGGUUGCAUGCAUUUCUAACUUCUGAAUAUUUGCUUGCACUUCAACGGCUGGUACUCAUUGUAGCUGAAUGGUCUUUCCUUUCUGAUGCACGUCCAGGUUCCUUACAUAUAUUUGGCAGGCAGAAUCCAUCAUCAUCCCAUGCCCGUUCAUGCCC